This is a long non-coding RNA of Mya arenaria, 365 nucleotides long. RefSeq lists it as uncharacterized. The transcript is spliced from 3 exons. The record is from RefSeq and is a predicted model, not a curated record. NCBI's taxonomy places the organism in Eukaryota, Metazoa, Mollusca, Bivalvia, Myida, Myidae.
GUUUUUUCACGCACGGAGAUUUUCGUGAGAUGUUCUCACUUCAAACAUUACUUUUGGGAGACAUCUUGUAUUGUACUUUUUAAAGUUAGGAGUUUUAGCAUUAUGAUAUUUGAUUAACAGUACACUGACAACACGGUUAUGGGGUGAGAUAGGAGACGUUUCGAGAUAUUUAUAGGACAUUUGGUUCCACAUACCUUAUGUUCAGUUAUAUUAUAGAACGAUACAGUUGUGCUACUCGUGGAAUACACAUAUGAUGAAAAGAUAUUGUAGUUGUCAAUUUAUCCACUUCAACCUUAAUCCACCUGGACAUUAAACCCGAACCCUACACGUCGACUCUAACUUUCUAUUUACCGGAAAUGUCGGCA